CAUGAAUUGAUAUGCAAUAUUAAAUCUUGGCAACACUUACCAGAUUUGUUUUCGCACCAUCCGCACGCGACGGCACCGACGCACCAUUUUUGUUUGAAUUUUUCCGUCUUUGUGUUCAGGUCAAGAGCAAUUCAUCAAAUACUACACCGGAAAACCUAUUAACAGGCGAGAUUGCCGGUUCUGCAAUCAGGAACCGGGUUUAUCCGCAGUUUUCAUUUGCGUUUCGCUGCGAGCCACUGGAAACCGAUUUCUGAUUUGCCGUCGGCAAAACUAGGCAAGCGAAGUCCAGGACCGGGUCAACCAUCCAAUUUUGAACUCCGCCAGAAUACGCGUAUGAAGUCUUUCUUGAUCACCGACCUCUGUGUCGCUCGGUUCUAUACUUUAAAAGGUGUAUCAAGGUAAUUCAUCUGGAACUGACCUGCGAGUUUCAAGUGAAAAUCAAUACACCUGUCGCCAAUUCACUGGAUCAGAGGUUCGUAUUCACGAUGACUCGCUGUCCCUGUCAUUACAGUUGAUAGCUACACAUGGACAGCAAAUCAAACGAGCUGAUAGCGGCUACUCAGAAGAACCUCU
Armigeres subalbatus is the source of this 573-nucleotide long non-coding RNA. RefSeq lists it as uncharacterized. The transcript has 4 exons. Lineage: Eukaryota; Metazoa; Arthropoda; Insecta; Diptera; Culicidae. The record is from RefSeq and is a predicted model, not a curated record.